This 1024-nucleotide long non-coding RNA is filed under the name Gossypium raimondii (Peruvian cotton). Its description in RNAcentral is "long non-coding RNA (GRAI_LNC000211)". The record is from RNAcentral. Lineage: Eukaryota; Viridiplantae; Streptophyta; Magnoliopsida; Malvales; Malvaceae.
UUUGAAAGGUUUCUUUAUUAAUGUAACCAAGAGAAAAAGGUGAUGGUAAGCUUUUGGCAAACCUUUUCAAACAUUCUUAGAUGAGCUUUAAUUUUCAGGUCAUAAAAGUAUUCCACCCUGAAAGCUCCAUAGCUAACAAAGCGUCUAAAAGGUUGCAGAGGCAGAAGACGAAUAAUACUCCUUACAGUGAACAUGAGUAUACUGAUGGAGACCAGAUUUCACAACAUAAAGACAACAGGUGUGUUCCUCAGGGAUUAAAGUCAAUGGAAGGCACAGAAGUUUAUAAGACCAUCUCAAAACCGCCUCAAUAUGAGCUUGCUUGCUGGGUGUACUGGAUUAAAACAGAUGUAGACUGUAAGUAAACAUCUAACCAUAUUGCUCAUUCAAAUGAUUUCUCCAUUGUCUGAAAUAGUGGAUUCCAAACUAGAAGUAUACCAAAAAGUUUCCCAUAAACUACAAGUAUUACCAUUAUCAUAAAAUAAAGGUCGUGGGGGCAGGAGCAGUGAUUCGGGAUCACAAAGGCUCUUGGAUUGUUGGCUCAUAUGUCAUAUCGUCAUGUUCCACUUGCGACUAGCGUAGAAGCGGACUUAUGGGCCCUUCGUGACGGCUUUAGACUUGCUAAGAGCUUAAAUAUUAGGCAUUUGGUCAUUGAAGUUGAAACUACUUUAAUCAUUCAUUUCAUGUCUAAUAUAAAUACUACUAAUCUACUGUUAUCUCCAAUUAUGAAUGAAUGCAAGAUGCUCCUCUGUCUAUUGAUUUCUAAGAGUAUUAAACAUAUCUUUCGAGUUUAGUACGUAUUCGGAACAACGUUCUUGAUAAUUCCUCUUUGGAUUGUAACUCUUUUGAUGAUUUCUUUUGUAUUGGUAACUCCCCUCAUAGCUCCUUAAUUACAAUUGUUGAGGCGGAUGCCAGAAGGGACAUUUUGUUCAUGUAGAACCUUUUAUCAGUGAAGUUCCUUUCUUGACAAAAAAGAAAAGAGAAGAGGUCGUUAAUGUGUAUGUUUACCUUGAAAUGACAAUAUUAC